UCCCUGGUGGUUCAGUGGUAAAAAAUCUGCCUACCAAGGCAGGAGGCUCGGGUUUGAUCCCUGAUCAGGGAA
RNAcentral lists this transfer RNA (72 nucleotides) under Ovis aries (sheep). It matches the Rfam family "tRNA". From Rfam's summary of the family: Transfer RNA (tRNA) molecules are approximately 80 nucleotides in length. Lineage: Eukaryota; Metazoa; Chordata; Mammalia; Artiodactyla; Bovidae. The record is from Rfam by way of RNAcentral.